UAUGUUAAAAUGCAAUGCAUACUAACCAAAUUGUGAGAGAUGUGAUGGCUUGAGAGCGAAAGGGGCACUGACUUCCUUGGGUUCGAUCUCCUAAACCUCCGGAGGGUUAGCUAUACCGGUCGUCCGAGUAUCUGCAAUCACGGACUCGGUACGUGUGUAUAGCUAGGUAGUGGACGUUCUCGCUACGCUUACCUGGUGAUAAAUUAAUUUGGGGUAAGGUCGUGUAGUGGGUCUAUGGGACCGGCCAUCAGUAUGAUUGCAGGUACUGUGCACUGGUGACGGGACAUUAGCGGACGGAGCUGGGUGUGCAUAACAAGUUCGGUAAACCCUUGUCUGGAGUUGUGCUAACUUUUAUUUCUCAAACUUCGUGCUUCGGAGCUUGUUGUUAUCUAGCCUCAGGUUAAACUCAGUUGGAUUCUCUUUCAUUGAAA
Molecule: long non-coding RNA, 431 nt
Organism: Rosa chinensis
Lineage: Eukaryota; Viridiplantae; Streptophyta; Magnoliopsida; Rosales; Rosaceae
Exons: 2
Source: RefSeq, a predicted model, not a curated record